RNAcentral lists this non-coding RNA (21 nucleotides) under Rattus norvegicus (Norway rat). Lineage: Eukaryota; Metazoa; Chordata; Mammalia; Rodentia; Muridae. The record is from RNAcentral.
AACAAUUAUGAGCCUUACACU